This 305-nucleotide unclassified non-coding RNA is filed under the name uncultured fungus. Its description in RNAcentral is "partial contains small subunit ribosomal RNA, internal transcribed spacer 1, and 5.8S ribosomal RNA". The stretch from base 1 to 73 matches the Rfam family "Eukaryotic small subunit ribosomal RNA", at positions 1759 to 1831 of the family's 1831-position model. The record is from RNAcentral. Lineage: Eukaryota; Fungi.
UCAAACUUGGUCAUUUAGAGGAAGUAAAAGUCGUAACAAGGUUUCCGUAGGUGAACCUGCGGAAGGAUCAUUAUUGAAUGCUUUUUUUGCAUUUCUUACCCGCUGGGCGAGUGGGCUUUAAACCUGCUUGCCCGGUUACCUUCUGGGUAGGUGGGCUUCAAACCUGCUUGCCCGGUUAUCUUCUGGGUAGGUGGGCUUCAAACCUGCUUGCCUGGAAUUACUUCGUGGAAAAUUGUCUGAAGCAUUAAUUAAACAAAACUUUCAACAAUGGAUCUCUUGGCUCUCGCAUCGAUGAAGAACGCAGC